This 374-nucleotide ribosomal RNA is filed under the name uncultured bacterium. RNAcentral's name for it is "bacterial SSU rRNA". It matches the Rfam family "Bacterial small subunit ribosomal RNA", at positions 524 to 898 of the family's 1533-position model. The record is from RNAcentral.
CACGGGGGUUGCGAGCGUUGUCCGGAAUUACUGGGCGUAAAGCGUGCGCAGGCGGUGAUGUAAGACAGAUGUGAAAUCCCCGGGCUCAACCUGGGAACUGCAUUUGUGACUGCAUUGCUGGAGUGCGGCAGAGGGGGAUGGAAUUCCGCGUGUAGCAGUGAAAUGCGUAGAUAUGCGGAGGAACACCGAUGGCGAAGGCAAUCCCCUGGGCCUGCACUGACGCUCAUGCACGAAAGCGUGGGGAGCAAACAGGAUUAGAUACCCUGGUAGUCCACGCCCUAAACGAUGUCAACUGGUUGUUGGGAAUUUACUUUCUCAGUAACGAAGCUAACGCGUGAAGUUGACCGCCUGGGGAGUACGGCCGCAAGGUUAAA